This 220-nucleotide small RNA is filed under the name Dasypus novemcinctus (nine-banded armadillo). RNAcentral describes it as "RNase MRP (ENSDNOG00000029856.2)". It matches the Rfam family "RNase MRP", at positions 14 to 245 of the family's 266-position model. Rfam says of the family: RNase MRP is an enzymatically active ribonucleoprotein with two distinct roles in eukaryotes. Lineage: Eukaryota; Metazoa; Chordata; Mammalia; Cingulata; Dasypodidae. The record is from RNAcentral.
CAUUUGUAUUUCCUCUUGGGUGAAAUGCCCAUUUUAAAAUUGGAUUGACUCGUUCCUUUACUUUCCGCCUAGGGGAAAGUCCCCGGACCUCCGGCAGAGAGUGCCACGUGCGCGUGCACGUUAAAAUUGGAUUGCUUGCUCUUUUAUUGUUGAGUUAUAUGAUCUCUUUGUAUAGCAUGGAAAUGCUAUAUAUGCUAUAUUGGAUAUGUGGUUUCCAAAU